RNAcentral lists this long non-coding RNA (162 nucleotides) under Apteryx owenii (little spotted kiwi). RNAcentral's name for it is "lncRNA (ENSAOWG00000013890.1)". The record is from RNAcentral. Lineage: Eukaryota; Metazoa; Chordata; Aves; Apterygiformes; Apterygidae.
AACUCUGGAAAAGCUCAGCAUCAGCAUUUGAGAGCCAAAGCUUGCAAAUUAUGUGAUUAAUCUACAAGCUGAUAUCAUGAUGUCAAAAUGCAGUUCGGGAAGCAUAAAUACAGAAGUUGCAGAAAUUAAAACGUAAGCUGUGCUGGAACAAAAAUGCAAUGA